RNAcentral lists this transfer RNA (65 nucleotides) under Gangesia oligonchis. RNAcentral's name for it is "tRNA-Phe". The record is from RNAcentral. Lineage: Eukaryota; Metazoa; Platyhelminthes; Cestoda; Proteocephalidea; Proteocephalidae.
UUUCCUUUAGCUUACCUUUAAAGCGUUAGUUUGAAGCACUGAAGAUAGUUUAUAACUAGGGAGGC